This 647-nucleotide ribosomal RNA is filed under the name Lentilactobacillus diolivorans. RNAcentral's name for it is "bacterial SSU rRNA". It matches the Rfam family "Bacterial small subunit ribosomal RNA", at positions 22 to 626 of the family's 1533-position model. Lineage: Bacteria; Bacillati; Bacillota; Bacilli; Lactobacillales; Lactobacillaceae. The record is from RNAcentral.
GCUCAGGACGAACGCUGGCGGCGUGCCUAAUACAUGCAAGUCGAACGCGUCUUGGUCAAUGAUUUUAGGUGCUUGCACUUGACUGAUUUGACAUUGAGACGAGUGGCGAACUGGUGAGUAACACGUGGGUAACCUGCCCUUGAAGUAGAGGAUAACACUUGGAAACAGGUGCUAAUACUGCAUAACAACGAAAACCGCCUGGUUUUCGUUUGAAAGAUGGCUUCGGCUAUCGCUUUAGGAUGGACCCGCGGCGUAUUAGCUAGUUGGUGAGGUAACGGCUCACCAAGGCAAUGAUACGUAGCCGACCUGAGAGGGUAAUCGGCCACAUUGGGACUGAGACACGGCCCAAACUCCUACGGGAGGCAGCAGUAGGGAAUCUUCCACAAUGGACGAAAGUCUGAUGGAGCAACGCCGCGUGAGUGAUGAAGGGUUUCGGCUCGUAAAACUCUGUUGUUGGAGAAGAACGGGUGUCAGAGUAACUGUUGACAUCGUGACGGUAUCCAACCAGAAAGCCACGGCUAACUACGUGCCAGCAGCCGCGGUAAUACGUAGGUGGCAAGCGUUGUCCGGAUUUAUUGGGCGUAAAGCGAGCGCAGGCGGUUUUUUAGGUCUGAUGUGAAAGCUUCGGCUUAACCGGAGAAGUGCAU